AUGACGAUGCAGAAAGGCAAGAGAGCUGAUAGGCUCAGCGCAUUGCCUGAUGACAUUCUGGUCAACAUUCUUGACCGACUCAAUCUCCGCGAGGCUGCAAGAACCAGCGUCCUCUCUAGACGGUGGACUCAACUCUGUGCCAAGCUGUCUCGACUUAUAAUAAGUGCUCAGCACUUCCUUCCCGAGGGCGUGUUAUGCACCGACAUCUCUGAUAAUGAAUUGGUUCGCAUCAAUGCCGCUGUGGUCCAAGCGAUGGAGAGCAUAUUGACGCGUAGAAAUCCUGGAGAACACACCAUCCGCCUUCUGUCCACGACGUUCUACUUGGGAGAUGAUGUCCCCAUAUCCAUUGGGCGUGCUGUUGGUUGUGCCAUGGCAGCACACCUGGUCGAGAACGCGAAAUUCAGUGUUAUGAGGUAUGACAUGGACGAGGAUGAUCUGGUCACCGCUGGGAGAAAAUUCAUGUUGUUCUUUGAUGCCUGCCCAAGUGCAUUUGGUGGUCUCACUACCCUCGACCUAGAGAAUUUGAGAUUUGGUGAAUCGGACAUAUCCAACGUCCUCAUCACUUGCAAGCGGUUGAAGCAUUUGCGUUUGUACCAUUGUGACUCUGGUGAUUGCAGCACGCUGCCACUUGAACAUGCUCAUCUCAGUGAGCUUAGUAUUGCCCACUGUAGGCUCGCACAAGUUCAGCUGAACUGGCUCCCUCAACUCACAAAGAUGGUCUUUGAAGGUUGGCUGCAGUUCCAAGAUCCACUGUUUAUUGGUCAUGUCCCAUUGCUGGAGGCUGUAAGCCUCACAAAUCUCGCCCUUAGUUACAGCAGGAUGGUUGAGUUAAGUGAGUUUCUUAGUGGUACCUCUAUACGAGAUCUGAAGUUGGAAUUUAAUUCCGAAAAGAUUUGGGUGCAGCCAGAAUGUCCGACGCAAUCCCUGGCAUCUGUUUUCUGCCAACUAAGGUUUGUGAAUCUAGCUAGUCUUCCUGAAGGGUAUGAUCUUACCUGGACAAUGUUUAUUCUUGAAGCUGCGCCCUUACUGAAGGAGCUAUACAUGACGGUAUGGGAUCAUGCGUGUUUAACAGAAACGGAUGAGGAGAAGAGGAAAGAACUACCAUAUAGUGAGAACAAGGGUGUAGAGUGGGACUCUGCCGCAGCAGGUUUCCAACACCACAGCUUGGCCACACUCGUCAUCAUUGGCUUUGAAUCUGAAGACUGCUUUGUGAGUUAUGUCAGACAUGUUAUGGUGACGGCGGUGAAUCUAGCAGAUGUGUUCCUGUAUAGUAGGUUGGAGUGCGGCAACUGCGAGGAGAAGCCUAACAGGUACCCCUGGACUAAAAGGCAGAGGGUCUCUCUGAAGAGGAGGCUUGCAGCUGGGAUUGAGUCGUUUGCCAUAUUUCACUUUGGUGCCAAGAGGCCUGGCCAUGUAGCAAAAAUGGAGUACCCAUAG
This 1437-nucleotide ribosomal RNA is filed under the name Triticum aestivum (bread wheat). Its description in RNAcentral is "partial small subunit ribosomal RNA". Lineage: Eukaryota; Viridiplantae; Streptophyta; Magnoliopsida; Poales; Poaceae. The record is from RNAcentral.